AGCUUCUACCUGGGUUAAGCUACGAAAAAUAAGCCUGGGCGAAUACUACUUCUACCAGGAAAUAUGAGCUAGAUUCCCCUAGGUGAAAAAAGUUCUACCUGGGUUAAGCUACGUAAAACAACCUGAGCGAAGAGUACUUCUACUCGUAACUAUGAGCUGGAUCCCCCUAGGCAAAAAGAUUAUACCUGGAUUAAGCUACGUAAAACAACCUGAGCGAAGAGUACUUCUACCCGGAACUAUGAGCUGGAUCCCCCUAGGCGAAAAUAUUCUACCUGGAUUAAGCUACGUAAAAUAACCUGGGCAAAGAGUACUUCUACCCGGAACUAUGAGCUGGACCCCCAUUGGCAAAAAGGUUCUACCUGGGUUAAGCUACGUAAAACAACUUGGGCGAAGAGUACUUCUACCCGGAACUAUGAUCUGGACCCCCCUAGGCGAAAAUGUUCUACCUGGGUUAAGCUACGAAAAUGAGAGGUAUAAAAAGUAGUGAUGCAUGCUAAAAAUAAAGGAAAAUUGGAGAUCUUAAGAAAACUUACCUUUGGUGACAUUCGUCCUUUAGGAAUCGACAUUCUGCACUGCUUUGUUCCU
This 585-nucleotide long non-coding RNA is filed under the name Nicotiana tabacum (common tobacco). RNAcentral describes it as "long non-coding RNA (NTAB_LNC011344)". The record is from RNAcentral. Lineage: Eukaryota; Viridiplantae; Streptophyta; Magnoliopsida; Solanales; Solanaceae.